UACGGAGGAGGCAAGCGUUAUCCGGAAUUAUUGGGCGUAAAGCGUCCGCAGGUGGCUAUUCAAGUCUGCGGUCAAAGACUGGGGCUUAACCCUGGAAAGGCCGUGGAAACUGAAGAGCUAGAGUGCAGUAGGGGUAGAGGGAAUUCCCGGUGUAGCGGUGAAAUGCGUAGAGCUCGGGAAGAACAUCGGUGGCGAAAGCGUUCUGCUAGACCUGUACUGACACUGAGGGACGAAAGCUAGGGGAGCGAAUGGG
This 253-nucleotide ribosomal RNA is filed under the name uncultured bacterium. RNAcentral describes it as "partial 16S ribosomal RNA". It matches the Rfam family "Bacterial small subunit ribosomal RNA", at positions 524 to 776 of the family's 1533-position model. The record is from RNAcentral.